ACAGAGAUGUUGUCAAAUGACAAAAAGUGUGUUACGUGUUCUUCUACAAUUUUGUAGUUGACAAUUCACUCGUAUCUGCAAAAUUCGUGUCGAGACCCAUAGUGGUGCGUAACAAUGUUAUCG
Molecule: small nucleolar RNA, 123 nt
Organism: Caenorhabditis elegans
Lineage: Eukaryota; Metazoa; Nematoda; Chromadorea; Rhabditida; Rhabditidae
Source: Ensembl